CCUACGGGAGGCAGCAGUGGGGAAUUUUGCGCAAUGCUCGUAAGAGUGACGCAGCGACGCCGCGUGAAUGACGAAGGCCUUCGGGUCGUAAAGUUCUUUCGACAGGGAAGAAAAUGCCUAUAAGUAACUGUGUAUGUAUUGACGGUACCUGUAUAAGCAGCCCCGGCUAACUCCGUGCCAGCAGCUGCGGUAAUACGGAGGGGGCGAGCGUUGUGCGGAGGGACUGGGCGGAAAGAGAACGUAGGCGGUGUGGUAAGUCAUUAGUCAAAGACUAGAGCUCAACUUUAGUAAGGCUAGUGAUACUAUAAUACUAGAGUAUCAGAGAGGAUUGCAGAAUUCCUGGUGUAGCGGUGAAAUGCGUAGAUAUCAGGAGGAAUACCGUUAGCGAAGGCGGCAAUCUGGCUGGAAACUGACGCUGAGGUGCGAAAGCGUGGGUAGCAAACAGGAUUAGAUACCCGUGUAGUC
Molecule: ribosomal RNA, 465 nt
Filed under: uncultured bacterium
Lineage: Bacteria
Description: partial 16S ribosomal RNA
Rfam family: Bacterial small subunit ribosomal RNA
Source: RNAcentral